UAUGGCUACAAUUCUCAAACUUGUUUAUGUUAUGAUUCUAAUUCUUCCCUUAUUUCUUUUUGCACUUGAAGAUGGUGGUAAAGGAAAUUCUAGGAGGAUGAUGCAUUCGAGUAAUUUGAAAGAUGAGAGUGACAAGCAAGAGAAUGAUAGAGGACAAGAACAUCCAAUGAACCAUGAAUUUGAGGGAGGAGGGGAUGGUUAUAAAAGAGUUCGAGUCCCAAAAUGUUUCCGGUGUGGAGAUAUUGGGCAUUAUGCAUUCGAUUGCACUUCCAGUGAAAAGUUAUGUUUCAAUUGUAAGAAUCCAGGACAUUUUAUUAAAGAAUGUGAAGAACUGAAAGAGGAACCUUUAGUGAAUGCUGCUAAAGCAUGAAAUUGUAGAUCUAUCUUUCAUGGGAUUUAGAUCGUCUCAAUCUGUAUUUUUCUCAAUUUUCUUCAAUCUUAAAUCUUAUGUGAGUUUUGAGGUCUUGCAUGUAGUUUAUGAAGAUUGCAUGUUACUUUGAAUGGUUAAUUUUGUUUAGAAAAUUAUAAUGUUUCAAUGUUCUUUGUUUUUGGAUAUGAUUUGAGGCUUUAAUUUGAGUAUUUAGAUUCAAGAAAUUUGUUGUUUAUGAGAUUUUGAGAUUACCGCAUUCUUAUGAGUGUUGAAAAAAAAAUAGGAAGAAUAUUUGAAUUGUUCAUGAGACCUAUACUUGAUUUUGUAUAAAAAGUUGAUUUUUAUACUUAUUCUUAAAUUUUGACGCUCAAAAUAGAUAUCAAGAGUCUAAGUCUCCCAAAUGAUAAAUAUUUUGUGCCGAUUAAGUUGCUUUUAAAUAAUUUUUUUAGUAGAAUUAAGUUUUUGUUCACGAGAUUUGAAUUUAUGCAUUAAGUUAUAAAUUUUAAGAAAAAUGACUAAUUUUGGAGACUAUGGUACAAUUAAGGAUGUAAACCAUAAGGAUGGUAAUCUUUUAGUUAGAAAAAGCAAUUGGGUUAGCCUUUGGUGCAUUAAAGCCUUAUUUAGAGGUUUCGAAAUGAUUUGGGGAAUAUCUUUUGGGCAUCUACGGUUUUGGUUCAUUUGGAUUGAUAGAAAUAAUCACAUUUUUAGAGGAGGGAUAUUUAAUGUAGAUGAUACUAUAAAUUCUAUCAAAUUUUGCUCUUGGAGAGGGUCUGUUUUAGACUCUAACUUAGCUACCUCCUAUAAUUUCUAUGACAAAUUUAUUUCUCUUGCAAACUGUUUAAAGUGGAUGUAACAUUUCCGCAUUCUCCUAUUGUAAAGAUUCCGCCCCUUGUUCUCCUUUUGAUAAUUUUAUUGCCUAUAAAAAAUAACACUUUAGAUUUAUUCAUAUUUUUAAAAUAAUUCUUUUUUGAGCAUAAAGUAAACAUAUCUAUUUAUAAUCCAUUAAAAAUGCACCUUUGCGUUUUAACAUUUCAAUUUCCUUUGUGGCAUAUAAUUCAUAUUCUCAUGUUUCUCAUGUUGCAGUAUCUUUUAAAAUUCAUCUUUACUUCUUAAAAAGUUAAAACAAAAAUUUAUUUUCUAUAAAAGGUCAUGAAUUUAAAUUAUGACAAAUUCAAAAAUAUUUUAAUCUAACGAAUAUAUAUAUAUAUAUAUAUAUAUAUAUAUAUAUANUAUUAUAUUUCAAAAAUCUUAUAUAACAUUUAUAUAUUUGUUUUGGAAUAAAUUCUUCUUUUAUGAAAAUAAGUUAAUUUUAUUUUUGAUAUAUCUUUUUAAUAUUAAACUCUAUAACAAUUAAGUUUAUUUCAAUUUUAACAAAUUAAAUAGUACUUAUUUAUGAUACCAUUUUGAAUACUACCAUGGAAAGUUGGUCGUUAGUUUUAAGGUUUUAUUUUAAAAUCACAUUACAAGCUUUAAAUAUAUAUAAUAUAAUAGAUAUAUCAUUUUCUUGCAUAUUGAUAUUAUGUACAGAAUUCAACUCAUUACAAUAUUUUGAAGAACAUGAUUUCAUGACUCAUUUUUGAAGUUGCAUAUUUCUGAUACCUUAAGUGUUAUGAUUUUCAUGUUUGUCUUAUAAGCGUUUGGUUCUAGUUUUUAUCUUAUUGAGUCUCCUCAUCAAUUAUGCAAUUGAUAUUUAGAUUCGUAUUUUAGCAUGUAUGAGUCCAAGUAUUUGAUUAUAGCUUAAGCAAUAUGAUUGAAAUCAAUCUAUUGAGUUUGUCAGUCAAAAACUAUGCUUGAGAAUGAUUUAAAUCAUGACCAUUGUAGAAUCUCAAAAAUCCUUUAAAAAUUAUUGAAAAGGAAAUUUGGCCAGUGUAACUCGAAUUACACAGUUAGUCUGAUUUGAAUCAGAGGAUAUAUUUUCAGAUCUUCUAAUUCGAAUCAAAGGAAGGUCUAAUUUGAAUUAAAGCAAUUUGAAUCAAAUCACAAAAUUGUGUGAUUCGAAUCAUUAUGAAAUAGAAAUUCUCCUGGUGGCUUUUAGAACUCUGACUGGGAGCAACCGAUUAUUUGACUCGAGUCAAGUGAUUUGAAUCACAGACCUUGUGAUUCAAAUCACACAAAUGAAUUUCAUAUAGUUUUUGCUUAUUGAUUUAAAUCACUUGGUUUUUUGAUUCCAAUUCUAACUCUUGCUUUGAACUUAAAUCAUACACCAUUUUGUCUCAUUUUUAGACUAGAUCUCCAACACAUAUAGAUACCGUUUUUCUCUCAAAAACCUUCAAAAUAUUAGAAAACACACACUUCCAAUAUUAAUUUGAAAACUCACAAACUACUUGUUCUCUCAUAUUUCCAAAAGAGUUUUGAAUCUUUUUUGGACACUUGUAAGUGAUUUCUUUCGUCUUCUACCUUAUUCUUUAUCCAUUAUUACAUGGAUAAGAAUCUCAUAUUUUGAGAUUCGUGAUUGUUUUUGAGAUGUUUUUGAAUUUAAUGUGUCUUUGAAGAUUUAAUUAAGAUUUCAGAGGUUCUCAAGAUGUGUGAUGUUGUGGUUGGUUUCGACAAUUCGAGUAAAAAAGAAGGACAUUCUUCUCUUCAGGUCCAUAUUGGUAGCGUUGUGUGGAAGCCUACAGACAAGGUGAGAGUUCUUCUCAAUCUUCAAACAUACCAACACUUAAGAUAUCAACAAGAUUAAGUAAAGAUCAUUACAGAGCAGAGACUUUGGAGUAGGUUGUUGGGCGUGAAGAUUUUAUAAAGAGUUUAACUUGUAGGUGUGAAGACAAGCUUCCAACAAAUUUUGAUGAAGAUAAUGAAUUCAAGCUUAAAUUUCCUUAUCAAAGAAGAAGAGAAAAAAUUGCUUUUGGUCAAUCAAGAUAUAUAGAAAUUCAUAUCAUAUGCAAUCUUAAAGUUCUCAAUUUUACUGAUCAUACAUUUGAAAAUAUUCAUGUCAUACUUUGUUAAAAUAUUUUUUAAAAUGUUUUAAUUGCAUUAGUUGAAAAUAAAUUUUGAUGCAUGCAUAAAGUUGUGGACUUAGAAAUUUUUUCAAUUUAAUUAAGCAAGCAAUUGAUUGACAUAAUUGUGCAAUCGAUUGAAUAGAAAUUUGAAAUUUAAAAUUUUAACCACUGCAAUCGAUUAACAUGUUUCUGCAAUCGAUUGCAUCAGUUCAUUUUUUCAAUCAAUUGUACCUAAACAAGUUUGGAAAAAUACUGAUUCAUGUUCACUACUUCACUCACUCCUUUUCAUGGCAUCUCUUAAAUUAAUCUCAUUAUAUUUCAUAAAUAUUUUCAAACCAUUGCCAUAUUUUAUCAAGGGAUGCUUUCAUCACUAUAAAUACAUUCACAGUUUCAUUUUACACUCACCUCUUUCAAAUUAAUCAUGAAAUUUCUCUGCAUAAUUUUCAAUAGAACCUUUACACUAAUAUACUUUUUGAAAUACAUUUUUAUAUCAUAUUCAACAAAGUAUCUUUGAGCACUUAUAGAGCAUUUGUUCUUGAAUCUUCAUAUUUUGAAAGAGAAUAAGACUUUUAUCAUUUGAUUAAAUCUUGUUCGUUAUACAAACUUACUUCUUAUACAAAUUAUUACUGUAAAUUCCUAAGUAUCAAGGCUUGCACAGAAGCUCCUGAAAAAACAAUUCAACCAGAAUCAAAAUCUGAGUUAGAUUCUGAAGAGGUAUUUUCUGAACUUUCUUGUUCUGAGCUGGAAUCUAGUUUAUCAAAAGUUAUGGAAAAAUAUCAAAAUCUUAUGAACAAAUACAAGAAUCUGAAGAAGAUUCAUGUAUUUGAGUCAGAAGCUUACUAUAAGCUCCAGAAAGACUUUUCAAGUUUGAGUGAAGAAAAUCUCAUUUUGAAAAGCAACAACUCUGUGCCCCAAAGGAAGAGUCUCAAACCCGAAAAGAAAAUUCUUUCAAAAGCCUCUAUAGGUUCUGGUGAUAUUAUAAAGAAAUAUGACAAAUAUUUCCAUAAAUUUAUUGAUAUAAGCCUGAAUAGAAGCUUAUUACCUUUGUUAAGCUAUCACUGAGCUGAUAGUAGGUAAUAUCCCUCUUAUCUUUGGUUGGUUACCUUUUUGAAGCUAUCACUUGGCCGGUAGUUGGUAAGCUUCCCUUUUUGAGCUUAUUACCUUUGUUAAGUUAUCACUGGGCUGAUAGUAGGUAAUAUCCCUCUUAUCUUUGGUUGGUUACCUUUGUUAAGCUAUCACUUGGAUGGUAGUUGGUAAUUUUCCCUUUUUAAGCUUAUUACCUUUGUUAAGCUAUCACUGGGAUGAUAGUAGGUGAUAUCCCUCUUAUCUUUGGUUGGUUACCUUUGUUAAGCUAUCACUUGGCUGGUAGUUGGUAAUUUCCCCUUUUUGAGCUUAUCACCUUUGUUAAGCUAUCACUGAGGUGAUAAUAGGUAAUAUUCCUAUUAUCUUUGGUUGGUUACCUUUGUUAAGCUAUCACUUGGAUGAUAGUUGAUAAUCUUUCAUUUUGGGCCUAUUACCUUUGUUAAGGUAUCACUUGGAUGAUAGUUAGGUAAUAUUUCUCCCCUAGUGGAGUUAGGCAUCCCAUUUGAUUGAUCUUUCCCCUUUGAUUGAUCUUUCCCCCGGCGGAGUCUUGCUUUGAUAAGUCUUCCCCAUUUGGUCCAUUUGGUUUGUUUAUUUUCUAACUAUGCAUUGGUUUCUUCCUAAUUCAAUAUUUAUUCCUGAGCCGAGUUGUUCCCCUGUGGAACUUUGUUUGUCCCUAGUUGGGUUUUCCCCUUUUGGAAACUGGUAUUUCCCAUGCGGAGUUUUAGUCUCCUCUUUUCUCCAACAAUUCUUUGUCUCUCGUGUCGCUAUGUUCCCCACAUAGAUCCUUGUCUACAUUCAUAUCAUAAGCAUUUUUGGCGAUAUCUUAGGGCCAAAAAUUGGGUUUUAUGUAUUUAAGUCUCUUCAAUAUCGUCGAGACGAAAAUUUCAAUCUCCAUAUCUCCGAAUUGAAGAAACUUAAAUAGGAACAUCUGUCAUACCCUAAUUUUUAACCCUAAGGUCCCUCAUACCAUUUGCACCCUUGCAUACAGACAAGAUCACAUCUUGGUCCUCUCCCUCUUAUCUAUGGGGUUUGCCUUUUGUAGGGAUCAUCAAACACCUCUUUGUUAGUGUUUUAUCUUUUGUGUUUAUAUGUCCAUUACUUAUCUAACUACUAAUCAAAAUAUCAAAAACAUGUUUUGUUUAAGUCUAUUGUGCAAGGUAGGGAUUUUCCAUCAAGAACAUCAAGCAUGGAUCAUCAACUAGGGUUUGUUUUGAUUCUUCAACAAAGUAUGGUCAACCAUUGGUUCUCAAGGGAUUUAUCUCUUAAGCAUGAUCUCUAAGGUUCUCAAGAACCUUUCAAUCUCGUUUGUAUCAAGAGCAUCUCAAAGUUCUGUGGCUUACUUCUCAAGAAAAGUCAAAGGUUCAUGUGUUUAUUUUCAUGCCUUCUUCAAUAAGUUUCCUCAAACUUUGAGAAAUCCAACCAAAGGACAUUAAAGGACACUUUAUUUUGAGUUCAUAUGAUCAUCCAUCUACCUUGAAAUGCAAGAAAAGUUCAAGUGCACAAGCUUAUUCCAAGAUGGUUUGACCAAAAGUCAACAUUUGCAAUUAAAGUCCAAAGGAUUAUAACUCCUUCAAUUCUCAACAUUUUUGAAUGCUUCUUUUUGCAUAUGACUCUUCUUAUUAUCCUAUACAACUUAUCUUUACAUGACAAGAGCCAAUUAUGCUUGUAAGAUUAUCAAAAGGUUGGAGACAUUAUAGGUCAUUUGUGGACUUAGUGAAAUUUGACCUAUUUUCAAGUGACUUUUUCUCAACUUUCAAGAUUUAUAACUUCUUGAAUUCUUAACAUUUGAGGCUUAUUAUUUUUGAAAAAUAUCAUUUGCGAUUCACUCUACAAGUUUGCUUCAAGGAUCAAAGUCAAAAUAUGUUUGGAAGACCAUGCAAUCCAUUGACACAUUAGAAGUCAUUUUCAGCCAUUGGAUACUCAAAAAUUUCCAAGUUACAUGACCAGUUUUUUCGUGCCAACUUCAACAUGACAUAAUUUUGUGCUCAAGCAUCCAAAUGCAAACUUUCUCCGCAUAUUGUAAUCUUUGAUAUGAUGUCAACACAAUGCAAGAAGAAUGGGAUCAAAAAGUCUCAUGAGCAAGAUGCCCUAUUGAGUUGAACAUGGUAACUUAAAACUGAAGAAAUCACCAUGAUUCAGAUUUGAUUCACUAAUUCUCAAUUACAAGCCAAAUUAACACGCGUUUUGGACCUAAACAUGUUUAACCAAGUCUCCAGAAGUUAAUUGACCCUGGAAACACAUGAUUUGGAUGAGGUUUGAUGAAUUGCAAGUCACACUUUUCUCACUUCAUGAUCAAAUUUGUUUUGCAUGAAUUAAGCUUGAUUCCACACGUAUUCGGAUCCAAACACAUUCCCUAUAAAUAGAGGAAGCUAUUGCAUUCAUUUCCAAGCUUUUGAGAGCCAGGAAAUCUCCGCUUCAAUUUGAAAAUUUCCAAAAAAAAUCAACUAUCGUGUUUUGAAUUCCAGCUUGAUUGAACCCAAUUUCUUGAUUCCAUUAGCAUUUUCGGCCCCCUCUGAAGCUUUUGCAACAAUUCCCAGGAUUUGCGACCUCAUUGAAUGCUCUAAUCAGAUCGAGCUUCGUCGACUUUUAUUCACCAUUUGGACAAGGUAGUUCUGAGCAUUAUUUGAACUCAAACAAGUUGCCAUACUAUAGUCCUUCACUCUCUGAUGCUUUCCCCUAACUUAUUUGGUGUUGGUUGUUCGUAUUCAUCAUUUAAUUUUAUUUUUCGUGGCUUACUUGCUUCUGAAACUUCUCUAAAAUUUCCCAUGCUCAAUUUAGAUAAAUGAAUUUGGAGCAUGAAGUUGAAUUCAUGUUGCGGAGGAGAUCACAUUGGUGGUGGUCCCGUGUUCUGAAAUUACCAAAUGAUGAAGCUCCGAUGAGGGAUCAUCGGGAAAGAUGACCAUAGUGUUUCAGGUCGUCUGAGUUUGGCCAGACACGUUGGACAAUUAAAAUGCUCUAAUUUGUUCAAUUUAAAUGCAAUCCCGUGUUUUAUUUUAGCUAAAUUCCAUCGUACGCCCUAGCCUUGUGAGUGUUGGAUCUGCCACGUCAAUUAAUGAGGCCAGAUCCAACGCUCCGUAUUUUUUUAUUUUUUUUUAAUUGCAUUUUCUUUUAAAAUUCCUAGGAAAUUCAUUUUACAUCCAAAAAAUCACAAAAUAACUUCUAAAAUUCUCUUUUAUUUUUCUUCAUCUGAAUUUUAUUUUUGCAUAUUUUAUUUUAUUGAUUUUCUAUUUUCAUGGAAUUUCUCCUUUUCUCCUUUGUUUUAAUCGGUUUAAAAUAGUUUUCUCCAUUUUAAAAUUCAGAGAAUUUUAUUAUAUGCUUCUUAUUUUAUUUCCAACCUUCCAUAAUUUUCUUGACCAUUUAUUUGGUGUUUUGAAGGACUUUAUGGGUUUUCCUAUUCAUUUCCAUUUUAAAAUUCAUUUUAAAAGUAUUUUUAAUUCAUUUUAUUGCAUUUUAUAUUUGUAUGACCUUUAUGGACUUCUGUUGGCCUCGGAUCAUGGUUGUUUUAAUCAUAUGUCUCAUCAAAUUCAAUGGAUCUUGGGUGUUGAUGGGUUGAAAACCCUAAUACACCAAAAUGGAUGAUAGAUCUUGAUGGUGACUUGAUCAAACAUCUGAUCCAAUUUUGGUGUGAUCUCUCUUGUCCUCUUCUUUUUCAUCUCUUUCUCUUCCUCUUGAUCAAUUGGAUGGUUUAUGUCCAUCUAGUACAUGAUGUAUGGAUUGGUGUUUGAUGAACUUUCAUCAUUUCAAAUCUACCUCUUAAUUGGUCUUUGAUCAUUUAGGGUACUUUUAUUGAUGCAUAAGUUUGUACUGGGUACUACGGAGUAUAAAUUGAUGUAAUGGACCACUCUCAUAGCCUUUGUACUUGAUCAAUUAUCUUUUUUUUUGUGGCAUAGGUUUAGGAGAAUGAUUUACAUCUCAUUUCUCUAGCAUGUAUUAACACAAACGUUGUUAUUGACCGACCUUAAAUAGUUAUGACUUCUACAUAAGUCCAAUUACGAUUGCUUAAUAUAUCGUUAAAUUUGUCCCGAAAGUAAGUCAUUUACAUAAGUGACAUUGUAAGUCUCCUACUCCUCAUGGUAUUGUGUGAAAAUAUUGCUUCCUUUUCAUUUAUGAGAGCUAAUGACAUACUUGUUGAUUCUAUCCAAGUUGGAGUCCUUCUCAUAGGUGAUAUAAAUGUCCAUGUUUUCAUGUUUGUGAGUGAAUAGUUGAGUGUUCUACAAAAAAUGACAAAUUGCCUUUCUCUUUUGAUUACUAACAUCAUUUAUUAAUAUUUUAUUGUAUUAACUUUAUUUUAAUGUCAUUUAUAUUAUGAUCUUUACUUUUUUUGUCAUUUACUUUAUGCUUUUACUUUAGCAUCCCACAUCAUAUUGUUUAUGUUUAUGCUCUUUUACUCUUUGCCUAUUUGGAUUUCUUUUUCUUUUAAAGGCAUUUAUAAAAGGAAUAAACUUCUAAAAAUUGGUUCUCUAGAUUUGUGGACUUGAGGUUACUAUCCUUAGCAUUGUUGUGGAGUUAUGGACUUAGAACUAGGAUCUUGACCCUUGCUUUGGGAGUUGUGAUUUGAGAUCUUGAUUUCAUCUGGUACCUUUGACUUUGGACCUCUUUUGAAGAUUUGGCUUGACUACUUUGAUUUCAUCUGAUGCAUGGUAUAUUCUUUUGCUUAUUUGGCUUGUUUGAGGCUUAAUCCAAAGGAGGAAAUUCUUGCUUGACUUAUGUAACAAAUCUUGCUAUCUCUUGGUUAGAUCUUUCCUCCCCAGCUUUUACUUUAUGUUCUAAGAAAGCCUACUCUUCUCCUUACCCCUCUUUGAUUUUCAAAAUCUCCUCUCUCUUUUCAAAACUUUAUUGUUUUCAAACUUGAACCGCUUUCUCAAUAAACCUUGAAUUUUUUCACGUGAUUUUGAAAAUCUUUUCUUAAUAAAUGUUAAUACAUGCUAAGCAUAUUCAAAACCAAUUUCAAAAGACUUAAAAAAAAUAUAUAACUCAUUUAAAUUAUUUUGUGCCCUUUGUGCACCUUUUCUUUUAAACUUUUCUCAAAGUUUAGACAUGAGUCAUUUCCAUAGUUGAGAUGUAAUUCUCCUAUCCCCAUAGUAUUGAUGAUUAUUCUUUUCCACCCAAGAGAGCUAGAGGCGUACUUACUGAUCUUUAUCCAAGUUGGAGCUCUUCUCUUUGGUGAUGUAAAGUUCUCAUACUUGUGGGUGACUAACUAAGUAUUCUCCUAAAAAUGACAAAAUGUAUUUUCAUUAAAAAUGAAUCAAAACAAACAUCUUUGUCACUUUUACCAUGAACUGCAAGGUUUUGAUCCUCCAUUUCACUUUGUUGAUACGUAGGCAUGAGACUCAGAAAGUCUUGGCAAUCACAAAAAUCAUAAAAAACAUUUCUUUUCUCAUCUCUCCAAUCUUUUGCAAACAACAUUUUUUAAAGCCAAAAUAUACAGAUUUUCAAAGAGGUUCCCAUGGAGUACCAUGGAUGUUUAGGGUGCUAAUACAUUCCCUUUGCAUAACUAACCCCCUUACCCGUAGCUCUUUUUAUUAGUUUUGUUUUAAAAACUUUCUUGGGUUUUGUUUGUACUUUUUCCUUUCCCUUUGGAAAUAAUAAAAGCACGGUGACGACACUUGCUUUGCGAGUUAAGUUAAUCAAUAACUUAAUCUCAAAAUUUUACCGCUACAAGUAUCACUAUCAGCAUAUCUCUUUCCAUUGAAAAAUCAGGGUUCCAUUCUGUUAAGAACAUAAGUAUAUGACCCCCUGAUCAUCACUUCAUCUCUAUCUUUCUCUAAUUUGAACUUUAAUAUGAAAUAUCCUUAGUCAUUGUAGAAAAUUUCGGGCAAUUGAGUAAAUUUCCAUGACUUAAUCAUAUAAUUCUUCACAACAUUCAUGCUCAGGUUUUCCCCAAUCACAUACAUGAUCAAAGAGCAUUCCCAAAACCUCAUCUCAGAUUCCACAUCUUCAUUCUCAAUUUCGACUUCAAUUUCACCAUCUACGACCUUUGGUGCCACAAAUAUAAUGGACAUACUAUUUGUUGUAUCUUUGUUACCCCUGAUGAUGUCCAUCCACAAUUUAGCCCCCUUCACGUUGUUCUUCACCUCCACGGACGGUUCCUUCGUGCUAUCAGAAUUUCCAUCAAUCCCUAACCCUUCCCCUUUUCCAUCCUCAUCUUUCGCUUCAUCGUCUCUAAUGGUUGGGUUAUCCACUUCUGAUUCCCCCGUAUCUUCUUGCGUCGUGAUUUUUGAGCUCGAUUCACGAUUUUUCGACGAACGAGGCACCUUCUUCUUCGGUCGCCCCCUUCCAUGUGAUAUCAUUUUUAAAAAAUUGAGACUUUAAUUACUAUAGUUGUGUAUUUCUCUUCUUCUUUUUUUGAUGUUAGUAUUUUCUCUUGUGUUUAAAAAUUUGUUUCUUUUCACAAGUAAACCUCAUGUUUUAUCUUUAAAUUUUGAUGUCACUAUAAUUAUUUUAAUAUUUUUCAUUAUGACAAUUUUCUUUAAAUUUUAUUAUAUUUAAUAAUAUUUUAAAAAUAUAUAUUAUUAUUAUUAUUACAUUUUUAUAAAAUAUUUUAUGAUAUUAUCUGAUUGAAUACAUAUAUUUCGAUAAUAAAUUUGUUAUCAAAUUAUGAACAAUAAAUUUUAUGAGUCUCAUAAUAAAAUUACAAAAAUAAUAAAAUAAAUUAGUUUCAAAAUACAUCCUCUUCCCAUUUGAACCAAAUAUAAUUGUAAAAUUGAUAAACUUUUGAUCGUGUCUACCACUAAUAAUAAAUAAUUUAAUCUUUAUAUUCUAUGCAUUAAAUACACCUUUGAUCAGUUGAAGGGGACAAACACACUGUAUGUUAACACUUUUUUUUGUGUGGUUACUUAUCUAACACUUUAGACAUAACUUUCUAGACACUAGAUGGUCAAAUAUUAUGUUCUAUAUUCUAUCAAAAUUCUGAAAUAUGAAUAAAAAACAUUGUAAUAUGUAUCUUAGCAAAGUCCAACAUAAAUAAAAUAACUAUCUAGUGAGAUUUAUCCACAAGUAACUUUGCCAUUGUAUAAAAAGAAAAUUUUCUCUUUAUUCUCAUGAAAGAUUAACAAAAGAGCACGUUCAAUCAAUUUUUUUCUUACUCAAAAAUUACUAUUUGUUUUUUGUUACAUGCCCUCCUUAAUUGAUGUGUUAAAGGGACAAACACAACAUAAUAAUAUUACUUAAAAGCUAUUUGACAACAAUUAUAAUUCUAUGAAGGGGUUUUAGACUAAAAACCAUCUAAUUAUUUUUUAGAAGCACAUAAACUUUAUACAUUAUAAAGAGAUCAAAUUAUACAAUAUUUCUCACAUGCAAAAAUAAAAAUAUAUGGCUACCAUUCUCAAACUUGUUUAUGCUAUGAUUCUAAUUCUUCCCUUAUUUCUUUUUGCACUUGAAGAUGGCGGUAAAGGAAAUUCUAGGAGAAUGAUGCAUUCGAGUAAUCUGAAAGAUGAGAGUGACAAGCAAGAGAAUAGUAGAGGACAAGAACAUCCAAUGAACCAUGAAUUUGAGGGAGGAGGGGAUGCUAAUAAAAGAGUCCCAAAAUGUUUCCAGUGUGGAGAUAUUGGGCAUUAUGCGUUCGAUUGCACUUCCAGUGAAAAGUUGUGUUUCAAUUGUAAGAAUCCAGGACAUUUUAUUAAAGAAUGUGAAGAACUGAAAGAGAAACCUUUAGUGAAUGCUGCUAAAGCAUGAAAUUGUAGAUCUAUCUUUCAUGAGAUUUAGAUCGUCUCAAUAUGUAUUUUUCUCAAUUUUCUUCAAUCUUAAAUCUUAUGUGAGUUUUUAGGUCUUGCAUGUAGUUUAUGAAGAUUGCAUGUUACUUUGAAUGGUUAAUUUUGUUUAGAAAAUUAUAAUGUUUCAAUGUUCUUUGUUUUUGGAUAUGAUUUGAGGCUUUAAUUUGAGUAUUUAGAUUCAAGAAAUUUGUUGUUUAUGAGAUUUUGAGAUUACCGCAUUUCUAUGAGUGUUGAAAAAAGAAAUAGGAAGAAUAUUUGAAUUGUUCAUGAGACCUAUACUUGAUUUUGUAUAAAAAGUUGAUUUUUAUACUUAUUUUUAAAUUUUGACGCUCAAAAUAGAUAUCAAGAGUCUAAGUCUCCCAAAUGAUAAAUAUUUUGUGCCGAUUAAGUUGCUUUUAAAUUAUUUUUUAGUAGAAUUAAGUUUUUGUUCACGAGAUUUGAAUUUAUGCAUUAAGUUAUAAAUUUUAAGAAAAAUGACUAAUUUUGGAGACUAUGGUACAAUUAAGGAUGUAAACCAUAAGGAUGGUAAUCUUUUAGUUAGAGAAAGCAACUGGGUUAGCCUUUGAUGCAUUAAAGCCUUAUUUAGAGGUUUCGAAAUGAUUUGGGGAAUAUCUUUUGGGCAUCUACGGUUUUGGUUCAUUUGAAUUGAUAGAAAUAAUCACAUUUUUAGAGGAGGGAUAUUUAAUGUAGAUGAUACUAUAAAUUCUAUCAAAUUUUGCUCUUGGAGAGGGUCUGUUUUAGACUCUAACUUAUCUACCUGCUAUGAUUUCUAUGACAGAUUUAUUUCUCUUGUAAACUGUUUAAAGUGGAUGUAACAUUUCCGCAUUCUCCUUUUGUAAAGAUUUUGAGUACCCCUUAUUCUCCUUUUGAUAUUUUUAUUGCCUAUAAAAAAUAACACUUUAGGUUUAUUCAUAUUUUAAAAAUGAUUCUUUUUUGAGCAUAAAGUAAACAUAUCUAUUUAUAAUCCAUUAAAAAUGCACCUUUGCGUUUUAACAUUUCAAUUUCCUUUUUGGCAUAUAAUUCAUAUUAUCAUGUUUCUCAUGUUGCAGUAUCUUUUAAAAUUCAUCUUUACUUCUUAAAAAGUUAAAACAAAUAUUUAUUUGCUAUAAAAGGUCAUGAAUUUAAAUUAUGACAAAUUCAAAAAUAUUUUAAUCUAAUGAAUAUAUAUAUAUAUAUAUAUAUAUAUAUAUAUAUAUAUNNNNNNAAGAGGAGAUCAUGUUGCAGUAAUCUUUUAAAAUUCAUCUUACUUCUUAAAAAGUUAAAACAAAAAUUAUUUUUUCUAUAAAAGUCAUGAAUUUAAAUUAUGACAAAUUCAAAAUAUUUUAAUCUAACUGAAUAUUAUAUAUAUAUAUAUAUAUAUAUAUAUUAUAUAUAUAUAUAUAUAUAUAUAUAUAUAUAUUAUAUAUAUAUAUAAUAUAUAUAUAUAUAUAUAUAUAUAUAUAUAAUAUAUAUAUAUUUAUAAUAUAUUAUAUAUAAAUUUAUAUAUUUGUUUUGAAUAAAUUCUUCUUUUAUAAAAAUAAGUUAAUUUAUUUUUGAUAUAUCUUUUAAUAUAACUCUAAACCAAUUAAGUUUAUUUCAAUUUUAACAAAUUAAAUAGUACUUAUUUAUGAUACCAUUUUGAAUACUACCAUGGAAAGUUGGUCGUUUUUUUUAAGGUUUUAUUUUAAAAUCACAUUACAAGCAUUAAAUAUAUAUAAUAUAAUAGAUAUAUCAUUUUCUUGCAUAUUGAUAUUAUGUCAGAAUUCAACUCAUUACAAUAUUUUAAAGAAAUGAUUCAUGACUCAUUUUUGAAGUUGCAUAUUUCUGAUACCUUAAGUGUUUAUGAUUUUUGUUUGUUCUUAUAAGCGUUUGGUUCUAGUUUUUUAUCUUAUUGAGUCUCCUCAUCAAUUAUGGCAAUUGAUAUUUAGAUUCGUAUUUUAGCAUGUAUGAGUCCAAGUAUUUGAUUAUAGCUUAAAGCAAUAUGAUUGAAAUCAAUCUAUUGAGUUUGUCCAGUCAAAAACUAAUGCUUGAGAAUGAUUAAAUCAAUGACCAUUGUAGAACUCCAAAAAUCCUUUAAAAAUUAUUGAAAAGAAAUUUGGCCAGUGUAACUGAAUUACACAGUUAGUCUGAUUUGAAUCAGAAGGAUAUAUUUUCAGAUCUUCUAAUUCGAAUCAAAGGAAGUCUAAUUUGAAUUAAAGCAAUUUGAAUCAAAUCACAAAAUUGUGUGAUUCGAAUCACUUAUGAAAUGAAAUUCUCCUGGUGGUUUUAGAACUCAUGACUGGGAGCAACCGAUUAUUUGACUGACGUCAAGUGAUUUGAAUCACAGACUUGUGAUUCAAAUCAACAAAUGAAUUUCAUAUAGUUUUUGCUUAUUGAUUAAAUCAUUGGUUUUUUGAUUCCAAUUUAACUCUUGCUUUGAACUUAAAUCAUACACCAUUUUUGUCUCAUUUUAGACUAGAUCUCCAACACAUAUAGAUACGUUUCUCUCAAAAACCUUACAAAAUAUUAGAAAACACACACUUCCAAUAUUAAUUUGAAAACUCACAAACUAACUUGUUCUCUCAUAUUUUCCAAAGAGUUUUGAAUCUUUUUUGGACACUUGUAAGUGUUUCUUUCGUCUCUACCUUAUUCUUUAUCCAUUAUACAUGAUAAGAAUCUCAUAUUUGAGAUCGUGAUUGUUUUUGAGAUGUUUUUGAAUUUAAUGUGUCUUGAAGAUUUUAAUUAAGUUUAGAGGUUCUCAAGAUGUGGAUGUUGUGGUUGGUUUCGACAAUUCGAGUAAAAAGAAGGACUUCUUCUCUUCAGGUCCAUAUUGGUAGCGUUGUGUGGAAGCCUACAGACAAGGUGAGAGUUUUCUUCUCAAUCUUCAAACAUACCAACAUUAAGAUAUCAACAAGAUUAAGUAAAGAUCAUUACAGAGCAGAGACUUUGGAGUAGGUUGUUGGGCGUGAAGAUUUUAUAAAGAGUUAACUUGUAGGUGUGAAGACAAAGCUUCCAACAAAUUUUGAUGAAGAAAUGAAUCAAGCUUAAAUUUCCUUAUCAAAAAGAAGAGAAAAAAUUGCUUUUGGUCAAUCAAGAUAUAUAGAAAUUCAUAUCAUAUGCAAUCUUAAAGUUCUCAAUUUUACUGAUCAUACAUUUGAAAAUAUUCAUGUCAUACUUUGUUAAAAUAUUUUUUAAAAUGUUUUAAUUGCAUUAGUUUGAAAAUAAAUUUUGAUGCAUGCAUAAAGUUGUGGACUUAGAAUUUUUCAAUUUAAUAGCAAGCAAUUGAUUGACAUAAUUGUGCAAUCGAUUGAAUAGAAAUUUGAAAUUUAAAAUUUAAACCACUGCAAUCGAUUAACAUGUUUCUGCAAUCGAUUGCAUCAGUUCAUUUUUUCCAAUCAAUUGUACCUAAACCAGUUUGGAAAAUACUGAUUCAUGUUCACUACUUCACUCACUCCUUUUCAUGGCAUCUCUUAAAUUAAUCUCAUAUAUUUCAUAAAUAUUUUCAAACCAUUGCCAUAUUUUAUCAAGGGAUGCUUUCAUCACUAUAAAUACAUUCACAUUUUCAUUUUACACUCACCUCUUUCAAAUUAAUCAUGAUUUCUCUGCAUAAUUUUCAAUAGAACCUUUACACUAAUAUACUUUUUGAAAUACAUUUUUAUAUCAUAUUCAACAAAGUAUCUUUGAGCACUUAUAGAGCAUUUGUUCUUGAAUCUUCAUAUUUUGAAAGAGAAUAAGACUUUUAUCAUUUGAUUAAAUCUUGUUCGUUAUACAAACUUACUUCUUAUACAAUUAUUACUGUAAAUUCCUAAGUUUCAAGGCUUGCACAGAAGCUCCUGAAAAACAAUUCAACCAGAAUCAAAAUCUGAGUUAGAUUCUGAAGAGGUAUUUUCUGAACUUUCUUGUUCUGAGCUGGAAUCUAGUUUAUCAAAAGUUAUGGAAAAAUAUCAAAAUCUUAUGAACAAAUACAAGAAUCUGAAGAAAGAUUCAUGUAUUUGAGUCAGAAGCUUACUAUAAGCUCCAGAAAGACUUUUCAAGUUUGAGUGAAGAAAAUCUCAUUUUGAAAAAGCACCAACUCUGUGCCCCAAAGGAAGAGUCUCAAACCCGAAAAAAGAAAAUUCUUUCAAAAGCCUCUAUAGUUUCUGGUGAUAUUAUAAAGAAAAUAUGACAAAUAUUUCCAUAAAUUUAUUGAUAUAAGCCUGAAUAGAAGCUAUUACCUUUGUUAAGCUAUCACUGGACUGAUAGUAGGUAAUAUCCUCUUAUCUUUGGUUGGUUACCUUUUGAAGCUAUCACUUGGCCGGUAGUUGGUAAGCUUCCCUUUUUGAGCUUAUUACCUUUGUUAAGUUAUCACUGGGCUGAUAGUAGGUAAUAUCCCUCUUAUCUUUGGUUGGUUACCUUUGUUAAGCUAUCACUUGGAUGGUAGUUGGUAAUUUUCCCUUUUAAGCUUAUUACCUUUGUUAAGCUAUCACUGGAUGAUAGUAGGUGAUAUCCCUCUUAUCUUUGGUUGGUUACCUUUGUUAGCUAUCACUUGGCUGGUAGUUGGUAUUCCCUUUUUGAGCUUAUCACCUUUGUUAAGCUAUCACUGAGGUGAUAAUAGGUAAUAUUCCUAUUAUCUUUGGUUGGUUACUUUGUUUAAGCUAUCACUUGGAUGAUAGUUGAUAAUCUUUCAUUUUGGGCCUAUUACUUUGUUAAGGUAUCACUUGGAUGAUAGUUAGGUAUAUUUUCUCCCCUAGUGGAGUUAGGCAUCCCAUUUGAUUGAUCUUUCCCCUUUGAUUGAUCUUUCCCCCGGCGGAGUCUUGCUUUGAUAAGUCUUCCCCAUUUGGUCCAUUUGGUUUGUUUAUUUUCUAACUAUGCAUUGGUUUCUUCCUAAUUCAAUAUUUAUUCCUGAGCCGAGUUGUUCCCCUGUGGAACUUUGUUUGUCCUAGUUGGGUUUUCCCCUUUUGGAAACUGGUAUUCCCAUGCGGAGUUUUAGUCUCCUCUUUCUCCAACAAUUCUUUGUCUCUCGUGUCGCUAUGUUCCCCACAUAAUCCUUGUCUACAUUCAUAUCAAUAAGCAUUUUUGGCGAUAUCUUAGGGCCAAAAAUUGGGUUUAUGUAUUUAAGUCUCUUCAAUAUCGUCGAGACGAAAAUUUCAAAUCUCCAUAUCUCCGAAUUGAAGAAACUUAAAUUAGGAACAUCUGUCAUACCCUAAUUUUUAACCCUAAGGUCCCUCAUACCAUUUGCACCCUUGCAUCAGACAAGAUCACAUCUUGGUCUCUCUCCUUUCUAUGGGGUUUGCCUUUUGUAGGGAUCUACACAUCUUUGUUGUUUUUUAUCUUUUGUGUUUAUUGUCCAUUACUUUUAACUACUCAAUCAUUAAAACAUGUUUUGUUUAAGUCUAUUGUGCAAGGUAGGGAUUUUCCAUCAAGAACAUCAAGCAUGGAUCAUCAACUAGGGUUUGUUUUGAUUCUUCAACAAGUAUGGUCAACCAUUGGUUCUCAGGGAUUUAUCUCUUAAGCAUGAUCUCUAAGGUUCUCAAGAACCUUCAAUCUCGUUUGUAUCAAGAGCAUCUCAAAGUUCUGUGGCUUACUUCUCAAGAAAAGUCAAGGUUCAUGUGUUUAUUUUCAUGCCUUCUUCAAUAAGUUUCCCUCAAACUUUGAGAAAUCCAACCAAAGGACAUUAAAGGACACUUUAUUUUGAGUUCAUAUGAUCAAUCCAUCUACCUUGAAAUGCAAGAAAAGUUCAAGUGCACAAGCUUAUUCCAAGAUGGUUUUGACCAAAAGUCAACAUUUGCAAUUAAAGUCCAAAGGAUUAUAACUCCUUCAAUUCUCAACAUUUUUGAAUGCUUCUUUUUGCAUAUGACUCUUCUUAUUAUCCUAUACAACUUAUCUUUACAUGACAAGAGCCAAUUAUGCUUGUAAGAUUAUCAAAAGGUUGGAGACAUUAUAGGUCAUUUGUGGCACUUAGUGAAAUUUGACCUAUUUUCAAGUGACUUUUUCUCAAACUUUCAAGAUUUAUAACUUCUUGAAUUCUUAACAUUUGAGGCUUAUUAUUUUGAAAAAUAUCAUUUGCGAUUCACUCUACAAGUUUGCUUUCAAGGAUCAAAGUCAAAAUAUGUUUGGAAGACCAUGCAAUCCAUUGACACAUUAGAAGUCAUUUUCAGCCAUUGGAUACUCAAAAAUUUCCAAGUUACAUGACCGAGUUUUUUCGUGCCAACUUCAACAAUGACAUAAUUUUGUGCUCAAGCAUCCAAAUGCAAACUUUCUCCGCAUAUUGUAAUCUUUGAUAUGAUGUCAACACAAUGCAAGAAGAAUGGGAUCAAAAAGUCUCAUGAGCAAGAUGCCCUUUGAGUUGAACAUGGUAACUUAAAACUGAAGAAAUCACCAUGAUUCAGAUUUGAUUCACUAAUUCUCAAUUACAGCCAAAUUAACACGCGUUUUGGACCUAAACAUGUUUAACCAAGUCUCCAAGAAGUUAAUUGACCCUGGAAACACAUGUUUGGAUGAGGUUUGAUGAAUUGCAAGUCACACUUUUCUCACUUCAUGAUCAAAUUGUUUUGCAUGAAUUAAGCUUGAUUCCACACACGUAUUGGAUCCAAACACAUUCCCUAUAAAUAGAGGAAGCUAUUGCAUUCAUUUCCAAGCUUUUGAGAGCCAGGAAAUCUCCGCUUCAAUUUGAAAAUUUCCAAAAAAAAUCAACUAUCGUGUUUUGAAUUCCAGCUUGAUUGAACCCAAUUUCUUGAUUCAUUAGCAUUUUCGGCCCCCUCUGAAGCUUUUGCAACAAUUCCCAGGAUUUGCGACCUCAUUGAAUGCUCUAAUCAGAUCGAGCUUCGUCGACUUUAUUCACCAUUUGGACAAGGUAGUUCUGAGCAUUAUUUGAACUCAAACAAGUUGCCAUACUAUAGUCCUUCACUCUCUGAUGCUUUCCCCUAACUUAUUUGGUGUUGGUUGUUCGUAUUCAUCAUUUAAUUUUAUUUUUCGUGGCUUACUUGCUUCUGAACUUCUCUAAAAUUUCCCAUGCCUCAAUUUAGAUAAAUGAAUUUGGAGCAUGAAAGUUGAAUUCAUGUUGGCGGAGGAGAUCACAUUGGUGGUGGUCCCUGUUUCUGAAAUUACCAAAUGAUGAAGCUCCGAUGAGGGAUCAUCGGGAAAGAUGACCAUAGUGUUUCAGGUCGUCUGAGUUUGGCCAGACACGUUGGACAAUUAAAAUGCUCUAAUUUGUUCAAUUUAAAUGCAAUCCCGUGUUUUAUUUUAGCUAAAUUCCAUCGUACCGCCCUAGCCUUGUGAGUGUUGGAUCUGCCACGUCAAUUAAUGAGGCCGAUCCAACGCUCCGUAUUUUUUUAUUUUUUUUAAAUUGCAUUUUCUUUUAAAAUUCCUAGGAAAUUCAUUUUACAUCCAAAAAAUCACAAAAUAACUUCUAAAAUUCUCUUUUAUUUCUUCAUCUGAAUUUUAUUUUGCAUAUUUUAUUUUAUUGAUUUUCUAUUUUCAUGGAAUUUCUCCUUUUCUCCUUUGUUUUAAUCGGUUUAAAAUAGUUUUCUCCAUUUUAAAAUUCAGAGAAUUUUAUUAUAUGCUUCUAUUUUAUUUCCAACCUUCCAUAAUUUUCUUGACCAUUUAUUUGGUGUUUUGAAGGACUUUAUGGGUUUUCCUAUUCAUUUCCAUUUUAAAAUUCAUUUUAAAAGUAUUUUUAAUUCAUUUUAUUGCAUUUUAUAUUUGUAUGACCUUUUGGACUUCUGUUGGCCUCGGAUCAUGGUUGUUUUAAUCAUAUGUCUCAUCAAAAUUCAAUGGAUCUUGGUGUUUGAUGGGUUGAAAACCCUAAUACACCAAAAGGAUGAUAGAUCUUGAUGGUGACUUGAUCAACAUCUGAUCCAAUUUUGGUGUGAUCUCUCUUGUCCUCUUCUUUUUCAUCUCUUUCUCUUCCUCUUGAUCAAUUGGAUGGUUUAUGUCCAUCUAGUACAUGAUGUAUGGAUUGGUGUUUGAUGAACUUUCAUCAUUUCAAAUCUACCUCUUAAUUGGUCUUUGAUCAUUUAGGGUACUUUUAUUGAUGCAUAAGUUUGUACUGGGUACUACGGAGUAUAAAUUGAUGUAAUGGACCACUCUCAUAGCCUUUGUACUUGAUCAAUUAUCUUUUUUUUUGUGGCAUAGGUUUAGGAGAAUGAUUUACAUCUCAUUUCUCUAGCAUGUAUUAACACAAACGUUGUUAUUGACCGACCUUAAAUAGUUAUGACUUCUACAUAAGUCCAAUUACGAUUGCUUAAUAUAUCGUUAAAUUUGUCCCGAAAGUAAGUCAUUUACAUAAGUGACAUUGUAAGUCUCCUACUCCUCAUGGUAUUGUGUGAAAAUAUUGCUUCCUUUUCAUUUAUGAGAGCUAAUGACAUACUUGUUGAUUCUAUCCAAGUUGGAGUCCUUCUCAUAGGUGAUAUAAAUGUCCAUGUUUUCAUGUUUGUGAGUGAAUAGUUGAGUGUUCUACAAAAAAUGACAAAUUGCCUUUCUCUUUUGAUUACUAACAUCAUUUAUUAAUAUUUUAUUGUAUUAACUUUAUUUUAAUGUCAUUUAUAUUAUGAUCUUACUUUUUUUGUCAUUUACUUUAUGCUUUUACUUUAGCAUCCCACAUCAUAUUGUUUAUGUUUAUGCUCUUUUACUCUUUGCCUAUUUGGAUUUCUUUUUCUUUUAAAGGCAUUUAUAAAGGAAUAAACUUCUAAAAAUUGGUUCUCUAGAUUUGUGGACUUGAGGUUACUAUCCUUAGCAUGUGUGGAGUUAUGGACUUAGAACUAGAUCUUGACCCUUGCUUUGGGAGUUGUGAUUUGAGAUCUUGAUUUCAUCUGGUACUUUUGACUUUGGACCUCUUUUGAAGAUUUGGCUUGACUACUUUGAUUUCAUCUGAUGCAUGGUAUAUUCUUUUGCUUAUUUGGCUUGUUGAGGCUUAAUCCAAAGGAGGAAAUUCUUGCUUGACUUAUGUAACAAAUCUUGCUAUCUCUUGGUUAGAUCUUUCCUCCCAGCUUUUACUUUAUGUUCUAAGAAGCUACUCUUCUCCUUACCCCUCUUUGAUUUUCAAAAUCCUCUCUCUCUUUUCAAAACUUUAUUGUUUUCAAACUUGAACGCUUUCUCAAUAAACCUUGAAUUUUUUCACGUGAUUUUGAAAAUCUUUUCUUAAUAAAUGUUAAUACAUGCUAAGCAUAUCAAAAACCAAUUUCAAAAGAUUAAAAAAAAUAUAUAACUCAUUUAAAUUAUUUUGUGCCCUUUGCACCUUUCUUUUAAACUUUUCUCAAAGUUUAGACAUGAGUCAUUUCCAUAGUUGAGAUGUAAUUCUCCUAUCCCCAUAGUAUUGAUGAUUAUUCUUUUCCACCCAAGAGAGCUAGAGGCGUACUUACUGAUCUUUAUCCAAGUUGGAGCUCUUCUCUUUGGUGAUGUAAAGUUCUCAUACUUGUGGGUGCCUAACUAAGUAUUCUCCUAAAAAGACAAAAUGUAUUUUCAUUAAAAAUGAAUCAAAACAAACAGUCUUUGUCACUUUUACCAUGAACUGCAAGGUUUUGAUCCUCCAUUUCACUUUGUUGAUACGUAGGCAUGAAACUCAGAAAGUCUUGGCAAUCACAAAAAUCAUAAAAACAUUUCUUUUCUCAUCUCCUCAUUCUUUUGCAAACAACAUUUUUUAAAGCAAAAAUAUACAGAUUUCAAAGAGUUCCCAUGGAGUACCAUGGAUGUUUAGGGUGCUAAUACAUUCCCUUUGCAUAACUAACCCCCUUACCCGUAGCUCUUUUUAUUAGUUUUUGUUUUAAAAACUUUCUUGGUUUUGUUUGUACUUUUUCCUUUCCCUUUGGAAAUAAUAAAAGCACGGUGACGACACUUGCUUUGCGAGUUAAGUUAAUCAAUACUUAAUCUCAAAUUUUACCGCUACAAGUAUCACUAUCAGCAUAUCUCUUUCCAUUGAAAAAUCAGGGUUCCAUUCUGUUAAGAACAUAAGUUAUGACCCCUGAUCAUCACUUCAUUCCUACUUUCUCUAAUUUGAACUUUAAUAUGAAUAUCCUUAGUCAUUGUAGAAAAUUUCGGGCAAUUGAGUAAAUUUCCAUGACUUAAUCAUAUAAUUCUUCACAACAUUCAUGCUCAGGUUUUCCCCAAUCACAUACAUGAUCAAAGAGCAUUCCCAAAACCUCAUCUCAGAUUCCACAUCUUCAUUCUCAAUUUCGACUUCAAUUUCACCACCUACGACCUUUGGUGCCACAAAUAUAAUGGACAUACUAUUUGUUGUAUCUUUGUUACCCCUGAUGAUGUCCAUCCACAAUUUAGCCCCCUUCACGUUGUUCUUCACCUCCACGGCCGGUUCCUUCGUGCUAUCAGAAUUUCCAUCAAUCCCUAACCCUUCCCCUUUUCCAUCCUCAUCUUUCGCUUCAUCGUCUCUAAUGGUUGGGUUAUCCACUUCUGAUUCCCCGUAUCUUCUUGCGUCGUGAUUUUUGAGCUGAUUCACGAUUUUUCGACGAACGAGGCACCUUCUUCUUCGGUCGCCCCCUUCCAUGUGAUAUCAUUUUUAAAAAAUUGAGACUUUAAUUACUAUAGUUGUGUAUUUCUCUUCUUCUUUUUUUGAUGUUAGUAUUUUCUCUUGUGUUUAAAAAUUUGUUUCUUUUCACAAGUAACUCAUGUUUUAUUCUUUAAAUUUUGAUGUCACUAUAAUUAUUUUAAUAUUUUCAUUAUGACAAUUUUCUUUAAAUUUUAUUAUAUUUAAUAAUAUUUUAAAUAUAUAUAUUAUUAUUAUUUACAUUUUUAUAAAAUAUUUUAUGAUAUUAUCUGAUUGAAUACAUAUAUUUCGAUAAUAAAUUUGUUAUCAAAUUAUGAACAAUAAAUUUUAUGAGUCUCAUAAUAAAAUUACAAAAAUAAUAAAAUAAAUUAGUUUCAAAAUACAUCCUCUUCCCAUUUGAACCAAAUAUAAUUGUAAAAUUGAUAAACUUUUGAUCGUGUCUACCACUAAUAAUAAAUAAUUUAAUCUUUAUAUUCUAUGCAUUAAAUACACCUUUGAUCAGUUGAAGGGGACAAACACACUGUAUGUUAACACUUUUUUUGUGUGGUUACUUAUCUAACACUUUAGACAUAACUUUCUAGACACUAGAUGGUCAAAUAUUAUGUUCUAUAUUCUAUCAAAAAUCUGAUAUGAAUAAAAAACAUUGUAAUAUGUAUCUUAGCAAAGUCCAACAUAAAUAAAUAACUAUCUAGUGAGAUUUAUCCACAAGUAACUUUGCCAUUGUAUAAAAAGAAAAUUUUCUCUUUAUUCUCAUGAAAGAUUAACAAAAGAGGUGCAAGUUAGUUAAAAAAAAGAAUGAGUUUUUAAUGAUAACAAAUUUGUUACAUGCCCUCCUUAAUUGAUGUGUUUAAAGGGACAAACACAACAUAAUAAUAUUACUUAAAAGCUAUUUGACAACAAUUAUAAUUCUAUGAAGGGGUUUUGACUAAAAACCAUCUAAUUAUUUUUUAGAAGCACAUAAACUUUAUACAUUAUAAAGAGAUCAAAUUAUACAAUAUUUCUCACAUGCAAAAAUAAAAAUAUAUGGCUACCAUUCUCAAAUUGUUUAUGCUAUGAUUCUAAUUCUUCCCUUAUUUCUUUUUGCACUUGAAGAUGGCGGUAAAGGAAAUUCUAGGAGAAUGAUGCAUUCGAGUAAUCUGAAAGAUGAGAGUGACAAGCAAGAGAAUAGUAGAGGACAAGAACAUCCAAUGAACCAUGAAUUUGAGGGAGGAGGGGAUGCUAAUAAAAAGAGUCCCAAAAUGUUUCAGUGUGGAGAUAUUGGGCAUUAUGCGUUCGAUUGCACUUCCAGUGAAAAGUUGUGUUUCAUUGUAAGAAUCCAGGACAUUUUAUAAAAGAAUGUGAAGAACUGAAAGAGAAAACCUUUAGUGAAUGCUGCUAAAGCAUGAAAUUGUAGAUCUAUCUUUCAUGAGAUUUAGAUCGUCUCAAUAUGUAUUUUUCUCAAUUUUUCUUCAAUCUUAAUCUUAUGUGAGUUUUUAGGUCUUGCAUGUAGUUUAUGAAGAUUGCAUGUUACUUUGAAUGGUUAAUUUUGUUUAGAAAAUUAUAAUGUUUCAAUGUUCUUUUGUUUUUGGAUAUGAUUUGAGGCUUUAAUUUGAGUAUUUCAGAUUCAAGAAAUUUGUUGUUUUAUGAGAUUUUGAGAUUACCGCAUUUCUAUGAGUGUUGAAAAAGAAAUAGGAAGAAUAUUUGAAUUGUUCAUGAGACCUAUACUUGAUUUUGUAUAAAAAGUUGAUUUUUAUACUUAUUUUUAAAUUUUGACGCUCAAAAUAGAUAUCAAGAGUCUAAGUCUCCCAAAUGAUAAAUAUUUUGUGCCGAUUAAGUUGCUUUUAAAUUAUUUUUUUAGUAGAAUUAAGUUUUUUGUCACAGGAUUUGAAUUUAUGCAUUAAGUUAUAAAUUUAAGAAAAAUGACUAAUUUUGGAGACUAUGGUACAAUUAAGGAUGUAAACCAUAAGGAUGGUAAUCUUUUAGUUAGAGAAAGCAACUGGGUUAGCCUUUGAUGCAUUAAAGCCUUAUUUAGAGGUUUCGAAUGAUUUGGGGAAUAUCUUUUGGGCAUCUACGGUUUUGGUUCAUUUGAAUUGAUAGAAAUAAUCACAUUUUUAGAGGAGGGAUAUUUAAUGUAGAUGAUACUAAAAUUCUAUCAAAUUUUGCUCUUGGAGAGGGUCUGUUUUAGACUCUAACUUAUCUACCUGCUAUGAUUUCUAUGACAGAUUUAUUUCUCUUGUAACUGUUUAAGUGGAUGUAACAUUUCCGCAUCUCCUUUGUAAAGAUUUUGAGUACCCUUAUUCUCCUUUUGAUAUUUUUAUUGCCUAUAAAAAUACCACUUUAGGUUUAUUCAUAUUUUAAAAAUGAUUCUUUUUGAGCAUAAAGUAAACAUAUCUAUUUAUAAUCCAUUAAAAUGCACCUUUGCGUUUUAACAUUUCAAUUUCCUUUUUGGCAUAUAAUUCAUAUUAUCAUGUUUCUCAUGUUGCAGUAUCUUUUAAAUUCAUCUUUACUUCUAAAAAAGUUAAAACAAAUAUUUAUUUGCUAUAAAAGGUCAUGAAUUUAAAUUAUGACAAAUUCAAAAAUAUUUUAAUCUAUGAAUAUAUAUAUAUAUAUAUAUAUAUAUAUAUAUAUAUAUAUAUAUAGUAUAUAUAUAUAUAUAUAUAUAUAUAUAUAUAUAUAUAUAUAUAUAUAUAUAUAUAUAUAUAUAUAUAUAUAUAUAUAUAUAUAUAUAUAUAUAUUAUAUAUAUAUAUAUAUAUUUGUUUUGGAAUAAAUUCUUCUUUUAUAAAAAUAAGUUAAUUUUAUUUUUGAUAUAUCUUUUUAAUAUUAAACUCUAAAACAAUUUAAGUUUAUUUCAAUUUUAACAAAUUAAAUAGUACUUAUUUAUGAUACCAUUUUGAAUACUACCAUGGAAAGUUGGUCGUUAGUUUUAAGGUUUUAUUUUAAAAUCACAUUACAAGCAUUAAAUAUAUAUAAUAUAAUAGAUAUAUCAUUUUCUUGCAUAUUGAUAUUAUGUUCAGAAUCCAACUCAUUACAAUAUUUUAAAGAAGAUGAUUUCAUGACUCAUUUUUGAAGUUGCAUAUUUCUGAUACCUUAAGUGUUAUGAUUUUGUUGUUUGUCUUAUAAGCGUUUGGUUCUAGUUUUUAUCUUAUUGAGUCUCCUCAUCAAUUAUGCAAUUGAUAUUUAGAUUCGUAUUUUAGCAUGUAUGAGUCCAAGUAUUUGAUUAUAGCUUAAGCAAUAUGAUUGAAAUCAUCAAUCUAUUGAGUUUGUCAGUCAAAAACUAUGAUUGAGAAUGAUUCAAAUCAUGACCAUUGUAGAAUCUCAAAAAUCCUUUAAAAAUUAAUGAAAAGGAAAUUUGGCCAGUGUAACUUGAAUUACACAGUUAGUCUGACUUGAAUCAGAGGAUAUAUUUUCAGAUCUUCUAAUUCGAAUCAAAGGAAGGUCUGAUUUGAAUUAAAGCAAUUUGAAUCAAAUCACAAAAUUGUGUGAUUCGAAUCACUGUGAAAUGGAAAUUCUCCUGGUGGCUUUUAGAACUAUGACUGGGAGCAACCGAUUAUUUGACUCGAGUCAAGUGAUUUGAAUCACAGACCUUGUGAUUCAAAUCACACAAAUGAAUUUCAUAUAGUUUUUGCUUAUUGAUUCAAAUCAUUUGGUUUUUUGAUUCCAAUUAUAACUCUUGCUUUGAACUUAAAUCAUACACCAUUUUUGUCUCAUUUUUAGGCUAGAUCUCCAACACAUAUAGAUACCGUUUUUCUCUCAAAAACCUUCAAAAUAUUAGAAAACACACACUUCCAAUAUUAAUUUGAAAACUCACAAACUACUUGUUCUCUCAUAUUUCCAAAAGAGUUUUAAAUCUUUUUUGAACACUUGUAAGUGAUUUCUUUCAUCUUCUACCUUAUUCUUUAUCCAUUAUUACAUGGAUAAGAAUCUCAUAUUUUGAGAUUCGUGAUUGUUUUUGAGAUGUUUUUGAAUUUAAUGUGUCUUUGAAUAUUUAAUUAAGAUUUUAGAGGUUCUCAAGAUGUGAGAUGUUGUGGUUAGUUUCGACAAUUCGAGUAAAAAAGAAGGACAUUCUUCUCUUCAGGUCUAUAUUGGUAGCGUUGUGUGGAAGCCUACAGACAAGGUGAGAGUUCUUCUCAAUCUUCGGACAUACCAACACUUAAGAUACCGACAGGAUUAAGUAAAGAUCAUUGCAGAGCAGAGACUUUGGAGUAGGUUUUGGGCGUGAAGAUUUCAUAAAGAGUUUAGCUUGUAGGUGUGAAGACAAACUUCCAACAAAUUUUGAUGAAGACAAUGCAUUCAAGCUUAAAUUUCAUUAUCAAAGAAGAAGAGAAAAAAUUGCUUUUGGUCAAUCAAGGUAUAUGGAAAUUCAUAUCAUAUGCAAUCUUAAAGUGCUCAAUUUUACUGAUCAUACAUUUGAAAAUAUUCAUGUCAUACUUUGUUAAAAUGUUUUUUAAAAUGUUUUAAUUGCAUUAGUUGAAAAUAAAUUUUGAUGCAUGCAUAAAGUUGUGGACUUAGAAUUUUUUUCAAUUUAAUUAAGCAAGCAAUUGAUUGACAAAAUUGUGCAAUAGAUUGAAUAGAACUUUGAAAUUUAAAAUUUUAACCACUGCAAUCGAUUAACAUGUUUCUGCAAUCGAUUGCAUCAGUUCAUUUUUUCAAUUUUUUAGUCCUUGCAAUCGAUUGACAGGAUUGUGCAAUCAAUUGUACCUAAACAAGUUUGGAAAAAUACUGAUUCAUGUUCACUACUUCACUCACUCCUUUUCAUGGCAUCUCUUAAAUUAAUCUCAUUAUAUUUCAUAAAUAUUUUCAAACCAUUGCCAUAUUUUAUCAAGGAUGCUUUCAUCACUAUAAAUACAUUCACAGUUUCAUUUUACAUUCACCUCUUUCAAAUUAAUCAUGAAAUCUCUCUGCAUAAUUUUCAAUAGAACCUUUACACUAAUAUACUUUUUGAAAUACAUUUUUAUAUCAUAUUCAACAAAGUAUCUUUGAGCAUUUAUAGAGCAUUUGUUCUUGAAUCUUCAUAUUUUGGAAGAGAAGAAGACUUUUAUCAUUUGAUUAAAUCUUGUCCAUUAUACAAACUUACUUAUUAUACAUAUUAUUACUGUAAAUUCCUAAGUAUCAAGGCUUGCACAGAAACUUCUGCAGAUACAAUUCAACCAGAAUCAAAAUCUGAGUUAGAUUCUGAAGAGGUAUUUUCUGAACUUUCUUGUUCUGAGCUGGAAUCUAGUUUAUCAAAAGUUCUGGAAAAAUAUCAAAAUCUUCUGAACAAAUACAAGAAUCUGAAGAAGAUUCAUGUAUUUGAAUCAGAAGCUUACUAUAAGCUUCAGAAAGACUUUUCAAGUUUGAGUGAAGAAAAUCUCAUUUUGAAAAACAACAACUCUGUGCCUCAAAGGAAGAGUCUCAAAUCCGAAAAGAAAAUUCUUUCAAAAGCCUCUACAGGUUCCGGUGAUAUCAUAAAGAAAUAUGAUCAAUAUUUCCAUAAAUUUCUUGAUAUAAGCCUGAAUAGAAGCUUAAUGGAUUCCAUGAUUUAUGGCGUUGGUAGAAAUGGAAUAAGGGGCAUUGACUAUGAUUCUGAUGAAAUAUAUUUCGGAAAAAGAUGAUAAGCCCGAUACUUUUCGGUCCCAUUUUGUCCCUUUUGGGAAACAAAAUUGAGUUAUGCCUAAACGUAGAAUCGCUUCUAAACCUAAGGCUAAAGUGAAACCUCAUUCCCAUUUCAAUUAUGCAUACAUGUAUAUAUAUCCUGCACAAAAACCCAAGUUUGUUAAGAAAUCUAGGAAGACUAACCCCAAAGGAUCCAGAAAGAUGUGGGUACCUAAGGACAAGAUAGUAUAUAUUGCAUAUAUCCUUAGAAAUAGAGUUGAGACACCAGUCAUGGUACCUGAACUCUGAAUGCUCGUGACACAAGACGGGAAGAAUGCAUAUGAUCCAAAGCUUGGAACUUAAGCCCAGAGGCAUCCUCAGUUUCAUAGGUGAUCAGAAAGGGAAGAUCACUGACUUCAGAAUAGUAGGUAACAAUAAUCUCCCUUCCAUUACUAAUGUUCUUUUAGUUGAAGGAUUAAUGUAUUGUCUUUUGUCCAUAAGUCAAUUAAGUAGCAAUGGUUAUGACAUUAUUUUCCAUUAAAAGUCCUGUAAAGGUGUCAGUGAAAAUGAUAGCUCAGUUCUUUUCAAUGGAAAAAGGAAGAAUAAAGUUUAUAAGAUAAGACUUUCUGAUUUGAAGAAUCAAAAUGUAAAAUGUCUUAUGUUUGUAAAUGAAGAGAAAUGGACGUGGCAUAAACGAUUGGGCCAAGUUAGCAUGGGGAUGAUUUCUCAGUUAAAUAAGCUUAAUUUAGUCAGAGGCCUACCAAAUAUGAAGUUUGCUUCAGAUGCUUUGAAAGGAAAGUUUUCUAAAACUUCUUUCAAGGCUAAAAAUGUUGUCUCAACAUCCAGACCAUUGGAGCUUCUUCAUAUUAACUUGUUUAGACCAGUGAAAACUGCCUUUGUCAAUGGUAAAAAAUAUAGACUGGUCAUUGUUGAUGACUACAGCAGAUGGACAUGGGUGGAAUUUCUCAAACACAAGGAUGAGUCACAUUCUGUGUUUUCUACCUUCUGCUCUCAAGUGCAAAAUGAGAAGGAUCUCAGAAUUGUAAAAGUCAGAAGUGAUCAUGGUGGAGAUUUUGAAAACAAAGAUUUUGAAUAACUCUUUGAUACUAAUGACAUUUCCCAUGAUUUCUCAUGCCCUAGAACUCCACAACAAAAUGGAGUUGUAAAGAGUAAGAAUAGGACUCUGCAAGAGAUGGCCAGAACCAUGAUCAACGAGACUAAUAUGACUAAGCACUUUUGGGCAGAGGCAGCCAACACAUCAUGUUAUAUUCAGAACAAGAUCUCUAUAAGACCUUUUAUGGAUAAUACUCCUUAUGAAUUAUGGAACAAUUUGAAGCCAAACAUUUUAUAUUUUCAUUCUUUUGGAUGUUUUUGUUUUAUACUGAACACUAAAAGGAAUCUGAGCAAGUUUGAUUCUAAGGUGCAGAAGUGCAUCGUGCAACUAUGGCUUCCUGAUUCAUAGGUAGAUUAACACCAAUUCCAUCAAAUCCAUCUAUAAUAGCAGUAGUUCUCUCAUCCUCACUAUCAUCAAAACCUUCAACACCCUCAUCAUUUAAUCAUUCCAUAUUUGUCAUCCCAUUAAUGCAUCUAGGUACUCUUACUUAAAGUUCUAUGUCAUUCACAUCAUGUUCCAGAUAAAUACCACCAUCAACUUGAAUGGCACAAGCAUAUGCAGCAAAAUCGUAUCCAUCAUCAUCCUUCCUCAACUGAAAGAAAUUUCCAUCUAUUUCAAGAAUUUUCAUCCACAUCCUAUAACUUCCUUCUUUAUAACCCCACCCCUUCACCAUGUUAUGGAUUUUAAACAUUGUCCACUUGUCAAUCUAUUGUGAGGAAACGAUCGUAUCCACACCACCUCUAUAUAUGAUGUCGUUCUCCUUUACCAUUAUAAAUUCACCUCCAUGGUGAAAAGUCACAUUAAAAUGUUGCAUGUUAUGUGAAAGGGGUUCGCAAAAAGGUUUAAUGUUCAACAUUACAAUCAAUACAUAAACAAGCCCGAACAUUGGACGAGAGUUCGAACAAACUAACCUCAGACAUUGAAAGCUUCAAUGGCGUCUUCGUGCUUUGCCUUCAAUCAUGCAAUGUAAUUCAUCAUUGUUCGUCCUCCAAAAAUAAGCUCGUGAUGCUUCAAUGGCUACUUCAAAGGCGUUCUUCAAAUUCGUCUCUUCGAUGGGUUUAUGAAUUUGGGACCAAACUAAUCCUAAUUUUUAAAAGGGGGUGGAGGCAAUUAAAAAGAAUAAAAAAUGAACAAUGCCACGUAGACAAAACAAAAUAUGCUAUAUAGGAUUAAAAUAAUAUUUUAUGUUGAAAUAGUCAACCCAUGGGCUAGAUACAAAAAAAAUCUUGAUAAUAUAAGGGGGGAAUAAAAAAAUAUUUUUUAUAGGUAAUUUGAAACUUGCUAAUACUAUAGGGGAUCACAAAUAUUUAACCCAAUAAUUUUUAAAAAAUAAUUUAAUUUUUUAAAAACUAAUUUAUUUUAUAAAUUAAUAUGAAUUAUAUAAUUGAUGCGAAUGAUGAUUUAGAAUAAAUCAUGCAAAUACAUUUUAUUUUUUAUUCAACGAUUGUAUCAACCACAAAAUUGAUCUAUGAUAUGCUCUACUUGUGCAUAAGUAACAAAAACACGUUCUCAAACCAAUAAUGAUUUAUUCACAAGUAACUUUACCAUGGUCUGAAAAGAAAUUUUUCUCUUUAUUCUCAUGAAAGAUUAACAAAGUGAUGCAAGUUAGUUAAACAAAUGAAUUUUUAAUGAUUAACAAGUUUGUUACGUGCCCUCCUUAAUCGAUGUGUUAAAGGGACAAAUUAACACACCGUAAUGAUAUGACUUAAAAAUAAUUAUUAUAAAUUUAUGAAGGGCUUUUAGAACUUCAAAAGUGCUAAGAAACCAUUUAAUUAUUUUUAGGAGAGCAUGCAUUUUAUACACUAUAAAGAGAUAAAACUAUAUUCUAUUUUUCACAUACAAAAAUAAUAUUAGUAUGGCUACAAUUUUCAAGCUUGUUUUUGUUAUGAUUCUGAUUCUUCCCUUAUUUCUUGUUGCACUCGAAGAUGGUGGUAAAAAAAAUUCUAGGAGGAUGAUGCAUUCGAGUAAUAUGAAAGACGAGAGUGACAAGCAAGAGAAUAAUAGAGGACAUGAACAUCCAAUGGACCGUGAAUUUGAGGGAGGAGGGGAUGAUUAUAAAAGAGACUUAAAAUGUUUUCGAUGCGGACAUGUUGGGCAUAAUGCAUUUCAAUGCACUUCCAACGAAAAGUUGUGUUUCAAUUGUAAGAAUCCAGGACAUUUUAUUAAAGAAUGUGAAGAAGUGAAAAAUGAACCUUUAGUGAAUGCUGCUAAGGCAUAAAAUUGUAGAUCUAUCUUUCAUGAGAUUUAGAUAGUUUCAAUCUAUAUUUUUCUCAAUCUUCUUCGAUCUUAAAUCUUAUGUGAGUUUUGAGGUCUUGCAUGUAGUUUAUGAAGAUUGCACGUCACUUUGAACGGUUAAUCAUAUUUAGAAAGUCAUAAAGUUUCAAAUUUCUUUCUUUUGGAUAUGAGCUAAGGCUUUAAUUUGAGUAUUAGUGUUCGUGAAAUUUGUUGUUUAUGAAUUUGAGAUUUGUGAUUAAUUAUUAUGUACUGUUUAUUGUAAACAGUUUUAUACGGUUAAUUAAUUAUUAUCAUUCGUUUGUAUUAUUUUAUAGGUAAUUAAAAUAAAAGUCAAAUUUCUUUUGACAUCCAACGUCUAUGAUUAACUGAUUGUGUAAAAUUAUUCUAUAUUUGGUGUAAGAUGUUGUGUAUGAAUAUUA
RNAcentral lists this long non-coding RNA (31858 nucleotides) under Lathyrus oleraceus (garden pea). RNAcentral describes it as "Pisum sativum (pea) long non-coding RNA (PSAT_LNC035050)". Lineage: Eukaryota; Viridiplantae; Streptophyta; Magnoliopsida; Fabales; Fabaceae. The record is from RNAcentral.